Molecule: long non-coding RNA, 3035 nt
Organism: Cyprinodon variegatus (sheepshead minnow)
Lineage: Eukaryota; Metazoa; Chordata; Actinopteri; Cyprinodontiformes; Cyprinodontidae
Exons: 3
Source: RefSeq, a predicted model, not a curated record
UCAUCAGUGGAGCCCCCUCUCGCUUUCUCCUCCCCUCUCUCUCUCUCUCUCCUUUUUCCACCCCUCGUCUUUCUUCUUCCCCUUUUUCAUUUGCUCCUAUCGUUCUGCUUCAGCUUCACACAAGGGGGAGACUUAAGCUUUGCGAGGGAAAAAGAGAGAUGGAAAAAAGUGCUGCUGUUUCUCCAGUCAGGGCCUCCCUGUAGCCCGCCCUUCCAUAGCUGGACUGCUUUUUCUUUUUUUUUCUUUUUUUUCCCUCACUACUAGCUGGAUUUUAACCCUCUGCUUCCAACUAGCUGCACAGCAGCAGCUCUGCAAAACCAGGCAACAAGUUGAUAUUUUAAAGGGCCUUUCACCUUAAUUUCGUCACAUAGAUUUUUGCAUGUCUUCGGAUUCAUGUUUUUACGCCGUUAAUUUUCAUAUUCUUUUUAAAACAAAUGAAUGAAAUGUUCUAACUUUUUGCGUAGUAUUUCUUAGCUUCCGCUGUUUUCUUUUGGAUUGAUUUAAACUUUUUUUCUUUUUGGGGGAGUUAAAUCUGUUUCUACGUUGGAUAAGAGACCUGGGCGCCAUUUCGGGUAACCUGUUUGCGGUAGGGUCGUGGUCUGGACAACCACUGUGAAUGGCAACAAGAGCCUGUGUGUCUAAAGAUGGUUGUACGUUUCUGUUUUAAAAGAAUUGUCCAAGAUCAGCAAUUUUGACAUGCAUGGACUUCCGUACCAUGUUUUUUUUUUCCGUCAGUUUUCCCCUUAUUUCCUUUGCAUGUCUUACCGUAAUCUACCCCUCUGUGUCUCCCACUUACCCUCUUUACUUCUCUGACUAAAGAGAAUGAGUGAAGAGCCGAUCUAAAGCACUUUCUGGGACAGGUACCAACUCCGGACAAAAUAAAUUUCAACUCGAUAACAGAGAAAAUACAUUUUGAGUCUAAAAAAUUAGAAUUAUGCAUCAGAGUAUUCCUCGUUUUACAUGCUGUGUCCUUUGAAUGGAACAGUUAUUAUUGUGUGAUUCUAUUUAUUGUUAAAAGAGUAAAUGUAAUACUUAGACACUUUUAUUUAAAGUGAAGACAUCUGAUUCAGGGCACAGGGUGUGAUGAGGGAGCAUAUAGAAAGCUGAAUUAUUCAUGCGCUCAGCCGAGGCUGGGACUGAACCCCCUGUGCUAUUUGCAUGCAUCAGACAUGCUGUAUGCCUGUUUGCUAACAUUUCUCAUUGAAGGACUUCAUAAGCAGCAGACUAGUUGAGCUGGAGAAUUGCAGGGGUCCAGAUUGCCUUUCAAUGUCUCAGGCCUUGCACAGCCUGGACCCUUUUUUCAGACGGGCUAACUACGCAUACUUAGGGAGCAGAGACUGUGGCCGAAUAAGGCAGUGAGCGCCCGCUUGUUGGGACUGUCCCCCCGAGCUAUAGCCUGAGCUUAAGGCUGAGGCUCAACUGUAAAUUGGACAGUCUGAGAGAGAUAUAACCGGGUUCCCCAAACAGCACUGAAUGGGAGCUCAUAGCUUUCUCCUCUUCCUAACAGAGAUAUGAAUCUACAGGGGGAAGAGCUGGCGAAAUUCAUCCUGAGCACACAUUAAUUGCCUUGCUUUGAAGAAACUGUGCUACGGUGGAGUUGAAGCCUCUGACGGUAACAAUUUCCCAGUGAGUGACAUUCUGCACAGUCCAAAGGAACACUUUUUUUGGAUGAAGACUACCUGAUGUGCUGCUGGAACAAUCACUGUGCCUGAAGACAGGAGGCCAGCCAACCAACCCCUUACCCCCUACCACCGACCCGCUGCAUGUUGCGUAGCAGGUGAGAUGCAUUAGCAGAGGCAGCAGCUGUGGCCCUAUGCUCCUCACAUGUGGGCAGGGAUCUGUGCUUUGUUGAGUUCAGCCUCCCUCUCAAUAAUAUUAACACUCAGCUCUUAGAAACUAAGAAAACAGUUCUAAGAAACAAGAAAUCCUUCAAAGUGUUCUGCGUGACACAAAGGCUGCACAGACUUAGAAUAUAACUCCUGAACUUUAACAGAUUCUGUCAUGUUACAAACGCAGACAUCAGUGUGUUUAAAUGUGAUAGGCCAACACAGACAUGCACUACCCUGGAAGGAACAAAAUAUAUGACUUCCAAACUCAAUUACAAUUAAAAUCUGAGAGGAACGACAUGCUUUAUAGAUCAGACCGCUUUAUUCUGACCCCCCUAAAUAAAUCCAAUACCACUAAUUGUCUUUACCUAAGUUAGUUAAUAGUCAAAGUGUGUAAUUAAAUUUCAGCUUUUUGUAUUUUCUAUAAGCCUUAUAAGGAAUAUUGUACAUAUGCAAUGCUGUCGACCAGCAGUACAUUUUUUUAGACUGCAGUAAAAGUUCCAUACUGUAUGUAGGGGUGGACUGAUCUGGCUUAUCUCGCUAAACGCAAAACCCUUUCUGUAAAACAUAUCAGCUGUAACAUGAUGUUUUGUUUUUUGUUUUUUGCAGAUACUUGGAAAACGAUCAAGUUGGUUGUACUACAGAUAAAGCCAAAAAUAGGGAUUCCUAGGUAGAGUUUGUGAGAAAUUUAAGCUCCUGUGGAGCUUUUUAGUUUAACGUGUUUUCAAUUGAACGGGAUAGCCAAAGUCCAGAGCUAAUCUGAUUGAUAAUACAUGACAAGACUGUAGAAUAUCUGGUCAAAACAUUCUAAAUUAAAUGAAGCUACAUUAUUAACUGGAAAGAGGAAAUAUCUCAUUGUCUAGAUAAGUAAAGGAGGUAGAGACAAAUCCUAACAUCCUUUCAGCUUUAAUAGCAGGGAAAGGCAGUUAUAAAUUUUAGCUCAGGGGGUGGUGUGUGCAAAUACAAGCUUCAUUGGAACAAGUUUCGUCUUAUUUCAUUUUUAACAAAACAUCACUUUCCUUCAUGAUUAUGCACGACUCUAACUUAGACCUGUUUAUGUGGACGAAAUACCCCUUCAUAGCAUCAUGCUAACACCACUAUUACCCCAUUUACACUACCCUUGAAAAACUGUGCCGAGACCUGUCCGAGCUCAGUAACUGAGAUAACUUAUCUUGUGUAAAUGCAAAGCAAACUGAACUGAACCGAGCU